GACGAACGCUGGCGGCGUGCUUAACACAUGCAAGUCGAACGGAAAGGCCUCUUUCGGGGGGUACUCGAGUGGCGAACGGGUGAGUAACACGUGAGUAACCUGCCCUUGACUUUGGGAUAACUUCAGGAAACUGGGGCUAAUACCGGAUAGGAGCUCCUGCUGCAUGGUGGGGUUGGAAAGUUUCGGCGGUUGGGGAUGGACUCGCGGCUUAUCAGCUUGUUGGUGGGGUAGUGGCUUACCAAGGCUUUGACGGGUAGCCGGCCUGAGAGGGUGACCGGCCACAUUGGGACUGAGAUACGGCCCAGACUCCUACGGGAGGCAGCAGUGGGGAAUAUUGCACAAUGGGUGGAAGCCUGAUGCAGCAACGCCGUGUGCGGGAUGACGGCCUCGGUUGUAACGACUUCGCUCAUGACGAAGACUUGUGUGACGGUAGUGGUAAGAAGCACCGGCUAACUACGUGCCAGCAGCCGCGGUAAU
This 477-nucleotide ribosomal RNA is filed under the name uncultured bacterium. RNAcentral describes it as "bacterial SSU rRNA". It matches the Rfam family "Bacterial small subunit ribosomal RNA", at positions 28 to 524 of the family's 1533-position model. The record is from RNAcentral.